GACGAACGCUGGCGGCGUGCUUAACACAUGCAAGUCGAACGGAAAGGCCCUGCUUUUGUGGGGUGCUCGAGUGGCGAACGGGUGAGUAACACGUGAGUAACCUGCCCUUGACUUUGGGAUAACUUCAGGAAACUGGGGCUAAUACCGGAUAGGAUCUCCUGCUGCAUGGUGGGGGUUGGAAAGUUUCGGCGGUUGGGGAUGGACUCGCGGCUUAUCAGCUGGUUGGUGGGGUAGUGGCUUACCAAGGCUUUGACGGGUAGCCGGCCUGAGAGGGUGACCGGCCACCAUAGGCCUGCGAUACGGCCCAGAAUCCUACGGGACGCAGCAGUCGGGAAUCUUGCACAGUGGCCGGGCGCGUGAUGCAACAACCCCGCGUGCGGGAUGACGGCCUUCGGGUUGUGAACCGCUUUCGCCUGUGACGAAGCGUGAGUGACGGUACUGGGUCAAGAAGCACCGGCUAACUACGUG
RNAcentral lists this ribosomal RNA (468 nucleotides) under uncultured bacterium. RNAcentral describes it as "partial 16S ribosomal RNA". It matches the Rfam family "Bacterial small subunit ribosomal RNA", at positions 28 to 507 of the family's 1533-position model. The record is from RNAcentral.